UAGGGAAUCUUCCACAAUGGACAAAAGUCUGAUGGAGCAACGCCGCGUGAGUGAAGAAGGGUUUCGGCUCGUAAAACUCUGUUGUUAAAGAAGAACAUAUCUGAGAGUAACUGUUCAGGUAUUGACGGUAUUUAACCAGAAAGCCACGGCUAACUACGUGCCAA
Molecule: ribosomal RNA, 164 nt
Filed under: uncultured bacterium
Lineage: Bacteria
Description: partial 16S rRNA
Rfam family: Bacterial small subunit ribosomal RNA
Source: RNAcentral